CUUUCCCUUCCCUGCUCUCCUCUGCCCUCCCCUUCUUCCUUCCCCUCCCUUCCUCCCUUGCUUCUAUCCUUUUCCUUGUAUAUUUUAAUCUUUUGGUGUUUGAAGGUAGCUUUGAACUGAUCCUGCUGCUCCUACUUUCCGAGUUGCAAGUGUUAUAAGCUUGUGCCAGCACACCCAGCUUAAGACUUCAUUUCCUUCUGUGAGGAUUGUUCCAUUCCAUGGAUGGCUACCUGUUGCUUGUCCACUUGUCAGAUGAUAGGCAUCGGUUGUUUCCAUUUGUGGCUAUCAUGAACAAUACAGCUGUGAGUGUUCAUGUAUGCUUUUGUGUGAACGUACAUCUUAUUUUCUCUUGGGUGUGUUGCUAGGAACAGAGUUGCAGAUACCCAUUGUCCAGGUGCCCCAGUGGCAGGCCUUAGCUGGUUUUCUCUGUCCUUCCUCAUUUCCUUUGUUUUCCUCUGACUAUGUUGCCUCUUGGCGAGUGUUUUCUUACUCUCUUUUUGGCGUGUGUGAGCGUGUGUGUGUGUGUGUGUGUGUGUGUGUGUGUGUGUACACAUGUGUAUGCAGGUGCCCACGGAGGCCAGAAGGAAGUAGAGAAUUUCCCUGGAGCUGCAGUUAUAGACACUGGUGAGCUGCCCAAUGCAGGUACUGGGAUCUGACUCCUCCCUAGAGAGCGCAAGCGUUCUCAGUCAGCGAGUCUUCUCUCCGCCCCUUCUUCUUGGUCGUGUGUGCACACAUGUGGCUGUGGGCUUAUGCGUGCACAGUGCACGUGUGGCAGUCUGAGGACAGCAGCUCCCAUGGGUCUUUACAUGCCUUUUGCCUCUCCUUUGAGAGACUCUCCUUGGUCUGGAACUUUAUCGAGCUGAGCCAGGCUACCUGGUCUGAGAGCUUCCAGGGAUCCGCCUGUCUUUGCCUCCUAGCUCAUCAUUGUGGGCUACGGGUGCACACCACCACACUCAUCUUUUCCCAUGAGUCCUAGGGCUCCAAACUCAGAGCCUCAUGUUUGCAAGGCACAAUCUUUACUGACAGCCAUCUCUCCAGCCCUAACAUUUCAACAUUUCCCUUUGUCUCAAACUCUCAGUGGAUGGAAUUUGGACAGGAUAGGGAAACUGAACAGAAUCUGGAGUAGGGCAGUGUAGCAUGGGAUUCAGAGUGAAAUCACCACUUUAGAGUCCCUUUUUCAAAAAUGGUGGAGUCUGAACUGCAAUGGCAGAGCCAGCAAGGUCCCUAAGUGACUACACAGAGUGUGAGCAGAACAAGAAGAUGCAGUAGACGCAACAAUUUAAACCAGUGGGUACCCAGGAGACACAAAAACAAACCUCACCCUAUCCCUGGAGUGGUUCCAAUGACUGUUGGGUGCUCUCCAGUAUGCAUGUCAAGAUCCAAACCCAUAGCAUUGGAAUCUCACAAAGUAAGAUGACCCAUCCAACCCGUAGACUCUAAGAACUUGAAAAACAAUCAUUUGUUUGAGGCCUUCUCCCCAAGAAUCACAGUUGUUUGAUUUGGCCACAACAUUUAGUUCUAGCUUCUGAGUGGGCUCAGAUGCUCCAGCUGGUGGCAGGGCCACACUCUUAGGAACACAGGCACAUAGGGAUCAGACAGCCAGAGCUACAGCAGAUCCAGAAGCAGGUGGUCACGGUGGACACCGGCAGCCAGAUGUGGUAGCCGAUACCUCCCAGUUCAGAACAGAUGGUCAUCAUCUUUCUCCAGGGCUAGCCUCUUCCAGUCCACAAACCUCAUUCCCCAUGCUCACCUAGACUCCUGGCCCCAGGACUCAUUAUCACCUCCUCUCAAUACUUUGGGAUACAGAGCCUCCAAAGCGUUGGGGAAAUGUGUCAGGUCCUUUGUCACGAAGGGACAUUCAGGCUGGCUGUGGUGGCUAAGGAGUCAGCCAGGAAUUCAGAGCAGAUGGGUGGCUGGGGCGUAUUUGUUUGUUAAAUGUGAUACAUAAGGUCCUACAGACUGGGCACACACUGAGUCGUAGCCACACGACAGCUGUAGUCCCUUCCUGAUGCCACCCCAGCCCAACAGGCAUGUGGUAAAGAGAUUGGUAUAUUAUACUCUUCCAACCGGGAUGCAAAAUGAACUGCUUCCUAUCCCUCCCCCUUUCCCUCCCUCCAAGUCCUCCGUCCCUUCUCACAUCUCAGCCAUCUAAGUGCUGAGGUUGUGGGCAUUUGCUACCACACCUGGCCAGAAGUGAUUUUUAAUGUAUCGUCCAAUGUUUUUUUAAUUAUCCUGGAUAUGUAAGAAAAUGUAAUGUUUAUGGUUUAAAAAAAAGAAAAUAAAAAAGCUAGUACAAAAGAGAAUGGAGGGACCAGUGAGAGAGCUCAGUGGAUGAAGCUCCUGUCACCAGGUGGACCACUCGGGAGGUGCGAGGAAGAGUGCUGCCCCCCACAGGAUGUCUUCUGACCUCCUCAUGUGUGUUGUGAUGUGUGCCAGCAGCACACGCAUGUGUACACUCACACGUGCACAUGCAAAGUCCAGCCUCACCUUCUGAGGAGUAACCGCCAUGCUGGAGAGAUGGUUCAGUUGGAAAAGCCUGAGGACCCAAGUUCAGUUCCCGGGGCUCAGGCAAACAGCCGGGUGUGUGGUGCAUGCCUGCAAACCCAGCCUGGGAGAGGCAGAAGCUUGCUGGCCAGCCAGUCUAGUCUGAUCGGAGAGUCCAGGUCGGUGAGAGAUCCUGUCUCCAAAGAGCAAGAUAGUCAGUACUCGAGGAACACCCAAAGUUGUCCUCUGGCCUGCACACAUACACAUCUGCACACAGAGGAAGUACCACCACAAGUACCCUGGAGAAUCGGUCCUCAAGGCCAGUCUAUUCCAGUACCAACCAGCACCCCCACCAUAUUUAAUGUCCCCUACUGGCCAACGUUCAUGUUAAGUUCGGAACUUGGCUGUGAUAACACACACCUUCCUUGGUGCAAGUGCUUUUAGCAUAAACCGGAGAAGUGGAAUGUCUCCAUCACAAGGGCUGUUCCCUUUUAAAUCUGCAUCGAUUCCCUGGUGCCCUUCAGAAAGGUGGUAUGACCACUCUUCAGUAGAGAUGCAGUAUUCUCAGUGAGGUAAGUAGACUUUAAGAGUGGCCCGGGUGGCCGGGUGGCCGGGUGGCCGGGUGGCCGGGUGGCCAGGGUAGCCAUCCAGCAAUCUUGGGAGUCUAGGUUAUGUAAACAAAGGCAGCGUUUGAGGAGAAACUCCGUGAGUAGCAUUGUGUCAGCCAGUGUUUAUUUCCUUAGUGUGGUUAGGACUUAAAUAUGGUCAAAACAUAUUCUUCUUUUUAAUUUUACACAAACAAAUAUGUUCCCAGGCUGACACCUCCGAUGCCAAGUUUCUAGGGGAAACGAAAUUCUGCUGCAAAGAUAGCAAGCCGCAGAGAGCCACUGAGGACAGAAGCGCCAUGGAGUGUGGGACGUCCCACCCGGCACCACACUGCCCAGCACUCAGAUGGAUUCCUGAGUUCUUCCAGAUUGCUCAUUGCUAAACUAUCAAGUUCCAGCUUCUGCAGCCUUACUGCUCAUUGGCAGGGAGUUCCUGGGCUGCUCCAAUCAGAAAGAGGCUGCAGAGAAAAGGCACUCACCCUGGGAGCUGGGACUUUUCUAACAGUUAACAUCGUACAAAGGUCUUUGUCUAGCUCUGUGGAAUUUGCUCUACUCUUGAAUGGACUGAGGAAAGAUGCAGAGGUUCUAGAAUGCGCUCCCCACCCCCAAGAUGAGGGACCAUGGAGGGACAGCGUAGCCUCCCACCCUGGAGCAGGAGAGACAACUCAAGAGACCAUCAGUAUUAAUCUGCCCAAACCACCUCCCAGUCUGGCCAGAUGACAGCAGGAGGCUGAGGACACUGAGUACUUGGAAUGAGGGCUUCAUUUGCAAAAGGCCUCUUAACUAAGCUGCAGUCAUCCCUAGUCCCUGAGCAGCUGGGACAAUAUGGGCUGCCAUGGGUGGCUGUAAAGGACUGUAAAAUAUAUGGAUAGAAGAGCGUUUGCCUCAGCAACCUGACUCCUAGCUUCACCAGGAACUUAAUCUCUUGCCAUUCAGAAGCUGCCCUGAACAUCUGGAGACCAUGAGACUUGGCUUUCAGAAAUAAUGAAGUCAUGUGCCCCAGGCCUGGUGCUUGAGGUAGUCACAUGGCCUAGAUGGGCCAAUCAGAAUUUUCUGAUACUUUCCUGCCGGAACUAUAGGAAAAGACUUCAUGCACUCCACUGGCUGUGGACUAAUGUGGAAGGUGUUUGAGAAAAUAGAAAUCCCUGAAAGAUAAGAGCCCAUGAGAUCCAGCUGAGGGUAAACAUACCCAUGCCUCACAUCUAGUAGUGUGUGUGUUUUGCUAGGAAACAAGAACAUAUGGAUUUACUACAUGGUGCUUGGCUGUAUAUCAGGUGAUUUGCAUACAAUCUAUACAACGUUCUUGAGAUCACCUAGAUAUUUUUUUUUUUUUUGGUUUUUCGAGACAGGGUUUCUCUGUAUUGUUUUGGAGGCUGUCAGUCCAGCCUGGCCUCGAACUCACAGAGAUCCACCUGCCUCUGCCUCCCGAGUGCUGGGAUUAAAGGCGUGCGCCACCACCGCCCAGCUCACCUAGAUAUUAUUACAGAGACUCCAAGAGAUACAGAAGCCUUACCCAGGGGACAUUGCCACUGUGUGGUCAGGAAUCCCAACAUUUGCUAUCUAAACCUUAGCAAAUUCAACUUGUGCAAAACAGUCUCCCCCCUUCCCCCCCUCCACAGCCUGAUACCUUUCUUAAGACUUCCAUCUGUUAGUCUAGCAGACUCACUAGAAGCCAGGUCCCAUCGGGUCCCUUUCUGUCCCUCUGUAGCCCCCAUGCUUCGCUGAGCCUGUCCUUCUCUGUCCCUCUGCAGUCCUGGAGCAGGGUGUUUUGUCCUAUGCACUCUCCGUGUUGCCCUGGCUGCUUUCAUUUCUCUCUUGGCCUUCUAGAACUGUCCCCUCCUAGGUCCCCUCCCCUGCAUCCAUACCUUGAGCUUGUCUUCCCACAGCACCCACAGGGUUUGUCUCAAAUGCCAACCUGUUUUGUGGGUCAUGCUUGAGUUUCAUGAUGUAAGGUCGCAUGUCCACCUUUGGGAACCUCUUGAGACUUGGUCAGCCCCUGGUGGGUUUACCCAGCUCUCAGACUUUGAGCUGGAGAGCCUGGAAGCCUGUUUCCUGUAUCCUGCAUCCAGCAUCCCAUCAUUUACUACGAAAUGUGUCUGUUAUAAAAGCUACUUCAUUGUCAUCUGGACACAGGGUGCCCUCUACCAUUUUAAAAUGCAGUGUGAGAUCAUCUGAACAGACACCAUGGCCUUCCAAGACUGUGAGCUAAAUAAAAAUUUCUUCUUAAAUUA
Long non-coding RNA from Mesocricetus auratus (golden hamster), 5320 nucleotides. RefSeq lists it as uncharacterized. The record is from RefSeq and is a predicted model, not a curated record. The transcript is spliced from 2 exons. Lineage: Eukaryota; Metazoa; Chordata; Mammalia; Rodentia; Cricetidae.